Aethalodelphis obliquidens (Pacific white-sided dolphin) is the source of this 232-nucleotide long non-coding RNA. RefSeq lists it as uncharacterized. NCBI's taxonomy places the organism in Eukaryota, Metazoa, Chordata, Mammalia, Artiodactyla, Delphinidae. The record is from RefSeq and is a predicted model, not a curated record. The transcript is spliced from 4 exons.
GGUUCGGGUUAGUGUUAGGGAACGGGUACGGAUUAAAGUACAGGUUAGAGUACGAUAACGGGUUAGGGUUAGGGUACGUGUUAGGCUACGAGUUAGUUUUAGGGUACAGGUUUGGAUUAGGGUAUGGGUUAGGAUUAGGGUUAGGGAACGGAUACAGUUUUGGGUACAGGUUAGCAUACGAAAACGGGUUAGGGUACGUGUUAGUUCAGUGUACGGGUUAGGAUUAGGGUAC